RNAcentral lists this ribosomal RNA (253 nucleotides) under uncultured bacterium. Its description in RNAcentral is "partial 16S ribosomal RNA". It matches the Rfam family "Bacterial small subunit ribosomal RNA", at positions 524 to 776 of the family's 1533-position model. The record is from RNAcentral.
UACGGAGGGUGCAAGCGUUCUCCGGAUUCACUGGGUUUAAAGGGUGCGUAGGCGGGCCGGUAAGUCCGUGGUGAAAUCUCUGAGCUUAACUCAGAAACUGCCAUGGAUACUAUUUGUCUUGAAUAUUGUGGAGGUAAGCGGAAUAUGUCAUGUAGCGGUGAAAUGCUUAGAUAUGACAUAGAACACCAAUUGCGAAGGCAGCUUACUACACAGUUAUUGACGCUGAGGCACGAAAGCGUGGGGAUCAAACAGG